RNAcentral lists this long non-coding RNA (217 nucleotides) under Elaeis guineensis (African oil palm). RNAcentral describes it as "long non-coding RNA (EGUI_LNC064490)". The record is from RNAcentral. Lineage: Eukaryota; Viridiplantae; Streptophyta; Magnoliopsida; Arecales; Arecaceae.
UGAUGAUAUCUUUAGAUAACCAAACAGACUUUAUAGGUCUCCACCUUCUAGUCUGUGCCCUCUGAUCCUAUUGAAGAUCCACUUACACUCUAUGGGCUUUAUCCUUUUGAGUGGAUCAACAAGUCCAUACACCGUUGACCUUUAUGGACUCUAUUUUAGACUUUUAUGGCUCCAAGCCACUAAUCAGAGUUGGACCUCUGUAUAGCAUCCAUACAGG